Molecule: ribosomal RNA, 253 nt
Filed under: uncultured bacterium
Lineage: Bacteria
Description: partial 16S ribosomal RNA
Rfam family: Bacterial small subunit ribosomal RNA
Source: RNAcentral
UACGUAGGGUGCGAGCGUUGUCCGGAAUUAUUGGGCGUAAAGAGCUUGUAGGCGGUCUGUCGCGUCUGCUGUGAAAAUCCGGGGCUCAACCCCGGACUUGCAGUGGGUACGGGCAGACUAGAGUGUGGUAGGGGAGACUGGAACUCCUGGUGUAGCGGUGAAAUGCGCAGAUAUCAGGAGGAACACCGGUGGCGAAGGCGGGUCUCUGGGCCGAUACUGACGCUGAGGAGCGAAAGCGUGGGGAGCGAACAGG